CGGACGCUGACGCCGCAUUCACGCGCGGUCAGCGUCCCGCAAUCUUGCGCAUGGUUUUUGUGUUUCAGGCGUCCGUUCUUUCGUGAACCCAUGAAAGACGAAGACAAUGNNNNNNNNNNNNUCGACUGGGGUGGACGUCCACUCAAACUCGAAACCGGCAAGAUCGCGCGUCAGGCCGACGGCGCCGUUGUCGCCACCUAUGGCGAGACCAUCGUGCUUGCCACCGUCGUCGCCGCCAAGACGCCGCGUGAAGGCGUCGACUUCCUGCCGCUCACCGUGGACUAUCAGGA
Molecule: unclassified non-coding RNA, 290 nt
Filed under: Hevea brasiliensis (rubber tree)
Lineage: Eukaryota; Viridiplantae; Streptophyta; Magnoliopsida; Malpighiales; Euphorbiaceae
Source: RNAcentral